Molecule: long non-coding RNA, 273 nt
Filed under: Elaeis guineensis (African oil palm)
Lineage: Eukaryota; Viridiplantae; Streptophyta; Magnoliopsida; Arecales; Arecaceae
Description: long non-coding RNA (EGUI_LNC019847)
Source: RNAcentral
CUUUUAACAAAAGCAAUAAAACAAUAUUUUUAAACUUUAGAGGGAUCGAACUCUAAGUUUAAAUUACCAUAAAAUGUGAGGAAACCAAGUUAAGGUAACAAUAUAUGAACCUACAAAAUAGGCUCCAAGAUCUUAGAUGCUAUAGGGUAUUCCUAAAUAGGAACAUCCAUAAGUUGCUAGUGACAAAGUCAGAGAUAAAUAAUAUCUUAAAUAGCAUAUAUAUAGAGGCUAGAGGUAUAAUAUGACACAUCCUAAAUUCGAGACAUAACACGG